CACGUAGGGGCCAAGCGUUGUCCGGAUUUAUUGGGCGUAAAGAGCUCGUAGGCGGCUCGGUAAGUCGGGUGUGAAACCUCCAGGCUCAACCUGGAGACGCCACCUGAUACUGCUGUGGCUAGAGUCCGGUAGGGGAGCGUGGAAUUCCUGGUGUAGCGGUGAAAUGCGCAGAUAUCAGGAGGAACACCAGCGGCGAAGGCGGCGCUCUGGGCCGGAACUGACGCUGAGACGCGAAAGCGUGGGGAGCGAACAGG
Molecule: ribosomal RNA, 254 nt
Filed under: uncultured bacterium
Lineage: Bacteria
Description: partial 16S ribosomal RNA
Rfam family: Bacterial small subunit ribosomal RNA
Source: RNAcentral